This 275-nucleotide ribosomal RNA is filed under the name Heterotrigona itama. RNAcentral describes it as "partial 16S large subunit ribosomal RNA". Lineage: Eukaryota; Metazoa; Arthropoda; Insecta; Hymenoptera; Apidae. The record is from RNAcentral.
CCCUAUAGAAUUUUAUAUUGAAAUUACUCAGUAGUUAAUUCAGAAAUAGUUUCAAUAUUUGAUUGGGAGGAUUAUUAAAAUUAACCAACUUUAAUUUAAGUUAACUUUAAUUUAAGAGUAGAUAAUGAUCUUCAAUUUGAAAUUGCUAGAAUAAAUUACCUUAGGGAUAACAGCGUAAUACUUUUUUAUAGGCCAUAUAGAAAAAAGUGGUUGCGACCUCGAUGUUGAAUUAGGAUAAAUUUUAAAUGCAGGAGUUUAAUAAUUAAGUCUGUUCG